GUAUGUGCGGCAAUAACAUGUCUGCCCAGCUUCCCGCUACCGUGCCCGCCAUCGGGAAAGCCACCGCUGCGGUGAUUUUCCUUCAUGGUUUGGGAGAUACAGGGCAUGGAUGGGCAGAAGCCUUUGCAGGUAUCAGAAGUUCACAUAUCAAAUACAUCUGCCCACAUGUACCAAUUAUGCCUGUAACAUUGAAUAUGAACAUGGCUAUGCCUUCUUGGUUUGAUAUUACUGGGCUUUCACCAGAUUCACAGGAGGAUGAAUCUGGAAUUAAACAGGCAGCAGAAAAUGUAAAAGCUUUGAUAGAGCAAGAGGUGAAGAAUGGCAUUCCUUCUAACAGAAUUAUUUUGGGAGGAUUUUCUCAGGGAGGAGCUUUAUCUUUAUAUACUGCUCUCACCACACAGCAGAAACUGGCCGGUGUCACUGCACUCAGUUGCUGGCUUCCACUCCAGGCUUCAUUCCCACAGGGGCCUAUCAGUGGCAUUAAUAGAGAUAUUUCUAUUCUUCAGUGCCAUGGAGAGUGUGAUCCUUUAGUUCUCCUAACUAAAGUUUGCUUCUCUUACUGCCGGAAAGCUAAAAACAUUAGUAAAUCCAGCCAAUGUAACCUUCAAAACCUAUGAAGGCAUGAAGCACAGUUCAUGUCAACAGGAAAUGAUGGAUAUCAAGCAGUUCAUUGAUAAACUUCUACCUCCAGUUGAUUGAUGUCACUAAGAGGCCUCCUGUAGAAGUGCACACCAGCAUCAUUGUAGUAGCGUAUAAACCUUUUCCCGUGCCCAGUCUUGAAACUUCUAAUGUUUGCAGUGUUAAAAUGUUUUGCAAAUACACACCAAUGAUACAGACUACAUGAUACUAUCUCCUUGUGGGAAAGAUGGUCUUCUUUUAAGUUUCUAUACCUGUAUUUGUAGAAUAUGAUUCAGAAUAUACUAGUAUUAAAAUAGGUGAAGCAGCUAAGCUUCUUUUUCCCAAAGUAAUUCAGCAAAAUAAUAAAAUACUGUAACCAGAUUUUUUUAUUAUGUCAUUUGACAAUUAUUAGUAUACUUAAUGAAAAUUUGUUUAGGUAUA
Non-coding RNA from Callorhinus ursinus (northern fur seal), 1059 nucleotides. NCBI's taxonomy places the organism in Eukaryota, Metazoa, Chordata, Mammalia, Carnivora, Otariidae. The record is from RefSeq and is a predicted model, not a curated record.